This 855-nucleotide long non-coding RNA is filed under the name Marmota monax (woodchuck). The record is from RNAcentral. Lineage: Eukaryota; Metazoa; Chordata; Mammalia; Rodentia; Sciuridae.
UAUGAAUGGAUUGUACUAAUAAUUUGAGACAUGUAUUUAGAGUUCCAUCAGAAUAAUUCAUUCUAUAUUUCUUAACUAAGUCACCCUGAAGCUACAGUGUCUUAGAGAUUUUUUCCUUAACCAAGAGAAACAGCUGACAUUCAGCCAGCCAAGGAGGUCAUAAGUGAUCCCGCCUCUGAAAAGGGCAGCAUAAGUGACACAGACUUCUCAGCUCCUGUCCAUUAGAAUAUAGCAAUGGAGAAAAGUGUUCUUCCCAUCUUCUUUGUCCCAAGAACUGUGAUCUUAUUGCAAGGAAGCCCUUUACCCUCUUCUAUCCUAGAUCUAAUGGACCUCCUACAGUUCCCUGGGGAAUGAAUAAAAUGGAUCUAACAUUUCUGACCACCUUCUGAAUUUUAUACCAGUACCUGAGUGGACAGAAAAAGAGCUGAAAACAAUCAUCCGCCUUGACAUUCCCCUGAACUUUAAAUUAAUUUAGACUCAUUAAAGAAGUGAAUAAGUACAUAGGCAAAAUGUUUGGACCAGCACUUCACCUAAGUCCUAGAAGUUAAUUUGUUCCUUUUUUUCAAGUGUUUUGUGUUUGUUUUGUUUUUUGGCAAAAAGCAUUAAAAUAUUUUACUUUGAUAAUAUUAAUUUAAAAUUUUAAAACUAUUAAAUGUUCAUCUAUUUUGUCAUCAAAGAAAGGCACAUUAAAAAUACAAUAAGAUAUUUUUAUAGUGGUAUGUACAGCAAAAAAUUAAAAUAUUGACAGUAUUGGGCCUGGGGUUAUGGUAGAGUACUUGCCUGGCAUGCUUAAGGCCCUGGGUUUGAUCCUCAGCACCACAUAUAAAUAAAUAAAUAAAAUAAAGGCCCAUUGAC